RNAcentral lists this ribosomal RNA (438 nucleotides) under uncultured bacterium. RNAcentral's name for it is "bacterial SSU rRNA". It matches the Rfam family "Bacterial small subunit ribosomal RNA", at positions 29 to 507 of the family's 1533-position model. The record is from RNAcentral.
AACGAACGCUGGCGGCAGGCUUAACACAUGCAAGUCGAACGCUCGUAGCAAUACGGGAGUGGCGGACGGGUGAGUAACGCGUGGGAACGUGCCCUGAGGUACGGAAUAACUGAGGGAAACUUCAGCUAAUACCGUAUGAGCCCCGAGAGGGGGAAAGAUUUAUCGCCUUGGGAGCGGCCCGCGUCGGAUUAGCUAGUUGGUGGGGUAACGGGCCUACCAAGGCUUCGAUCCGUAGCUGGUCUGAGAGGACGAUCAGCCACACUGGGACUGAGACACGGCCCAGACUCCUACGGGAGGCAGCAGUGGGGAAUCUUGCGCAAUGGGGGCAACCCUGACGCAGCCAUGCCGCGUGAACGAUGAAGGCCUUAGGGUUGUAAAGUUCUUUUACCCGUGACGAUGAUGACGGUAACGGGGGAAUAAGCUCCGGCUAACUUCGUG